This is a non-coding RNA of Klebsormidium nitens, 82 nucleotides long. The record is from Rfam. Lineage: Eukaryota; Viridiplantae; Streptophyta; Klebsormidiophyceae; Klebsormidiales; Klebsormidiaceae.
GUAAUCGUGCCCGAGCGGUUAAGGGGCUAGACUAGAAAUCUAGUAGGCUCUGCCUGCGCAGGUUCGAAUCCUGCCGAUUACG